This 355-nucleotide unclassified non-coding RNA is filed under the name fungal sp. Its description in RNAcentral is "partial internal transcribed spacer region". The stretch from base 1 to 46 matches the Rfam family "Eukaryotic small subunit ribosomal RNA", at positions 1786 to 1831 of the family's 1831-position model. Lineage: Eukaryota; Fungi. The record is from RNAcentral.
AAGUCGUAACAAGGUUUCCGUAGGUGAACCUGCGGAAGGAUCAUUAACACGUAUCCAACGUUAAAAACACCCCUGUGAACCCGUUAAUCUUGCUCCUCACGCCCUGCACGCCUAGCAAUCCCUGGUAAAUCAUUGUCUGAACAGAUUUUGAGUCAGGGACUUCUGACGUGACGCGAAGAAUGGUAUUGAUACUCCAUCUGCGUGGGAUGACAUGCGACGUAGCAAAUCACUUGGCUCCCCACUACUUCGGUACCCUCACAUCGGCACACCACCGAUGAUAUGUCGAUUUCGCGACUGGACUAAAAGCCUCGCACCAAAAACCGAACAACUGUUAACAAUGGAUAUUUUGGUUCUC